This 74-nucleotide transfer RNA is filed under the name Marmota monax (woodchuck). Its description in RNAcentral is "tRNA.Ala". The record is from RNAcentral. Lineage: Eukaryota; Metazoa; Chordata; Mammalia; Rodentia; Sciuridae.
GGGAUGUAGCUCAGUUGGUCAAGUACUUGUCUUGCACACACAAGGCCCUGGGUUCAAUCCCCCAUACCAUACCA